RNAcentral lists this ribosomal RNA (417 nucleotides) under uncultured bacterium. RNAcentral's name for it is "bacterial SSU rRNA". It matches the Rfam family "Bacterial small subunit ribosomal RNA", at positions 365 to 775 of the family's 1533-position model. The record is from RNAcentral.
UGCGCAAUGGGCGAAAGCCUGACGCAGCAACGCCGCGUGAGCGAAGAAGGCCUUCGGGUUGUAAAGCUCUGUCAGGGGGAAAGAAGGCACCUGGGUUAAUAGCCCAAGGGCUGACGGUACCCCCAGAGGAAGCCACGGCUAACUACGUGCCAGCAGCCGCGGUAAUACGUAGGUGGCGAGCGUUGUCCGGAAUCAUUGGGCGUAAAGAGCGCGUAGGUGGCUUGUCAGGUCCGAUGUGAAAACCUGGGGCUCAACUCCAGGCCUGCAUCGGAAACCGGCUUGCUAGAGUCUGGGAGAGGAGAGUGGAAUUCCUGGUGUAGCGGUGAAAUGCGUAGAUAUCAGGAGGAACACCGGUAGCGAAGGCGGCUCUCUGGAACAGUACUGACGCUGAGGCGCGAAAGCUAGGGGAGCGAACAG